RNAcentral lists this ribosomal RNA (437 nucleotides) under uncultured bacterium. Its description in RNAcentral is "bacterial SSU rRNA". It matches the Rfam family "Bacterial small subunit ribosomal RNA", at positions 328 to 781 of the family's 1533-position model. The record is from RNAcentral.
GAGCCAGACUCCUACGGGAGGCAGCAGUGGGGGAUAUUGCACAAUGGGGGGAACCCUGAUGCAGCGACGCCGCGUGGGUGAAGGAGUGCUUCGGCAUGUAAAGCCCUAUCGGCAGGGAAGAAGCAAGACGGUACCUGACUAAGAAGCCCCGGCUAACUACGUGCCAGCAGCCGCGGUAAUACGUAGGGGGCAAGCGUUAUCCGGAUUUACUGGGUGUAAAGGGAGCGUAGACGGCAUAGCAAGUCUGAAGUGAAAGCCCAAGGCUCAACCAUGGGACUUCUUUGGAAACUGUUAAGCUAGAGUGCUGGAGAGGUAAGCGGAAUUCCUAGUGUAGCGGUGAAAUGCGUAGAUAUUAGGAAGAACACCAGUGGCGAAGGCGGCUUACUGGACAGUAACUGACGUUGAGGCUCGAAAGCGUGGGGAGCCAACAGGAUUAG